AAGUACUCUCCUGCCUGUGUUUCUGAUCGCCUUUGCUGUAGUGGUCCAGUCUUCCGGAAGCUCCUCCUGUCCAACAAGAGCCUGUCUCACCUCUUCUCAAAAGUGCUUUUAGCACUUUAUAUGUUGUGCUUGGCUUGGCUUGGCUGAGGCUCCAUAACCCCAGCAUCGACUGGACCGUCCCCAAUAUCACCUCAUGGAGAAACUUCUGUCAUAAGAACUACUUGCGAUUUUUCCAAAGUCUGAGUCGCCAAGUACUUCAGUGACUCCCUGAGAACAAGCUCUUCAUCAAAGCAGAGAAAUGUGAGUUCCAUGUUCCAAAGACCACCUUUCUGGGUUACGUUAUUGCUGAGGGGCAGCUUCAAAUGGACCCAGCCAAGGUAGCCGCGCUCACCGAGUGGCCAACGCCAUCCACACGAAAGGAGCUGCAACGGUUCCUUGGCUUCGCCAACUUCUAUCGGCGGUUCAUUCGGAACUACAGUCGGGUUGCAGCACCCCUCAAUUCCCUCACAUCAACCCUAAUAUCAUUCUAUUGAGAAAAAUUAUGGGAUUGGAGACCGGGAGCUCGUGGCAGUGAAGAUGGCGUUGGAGGAAUGGCAGCAUUUCCUGGAAGGCGCCAAACACCCAUUCAUCGUGUGGACCGACCACAAGAAUUUGGAAUACAUCCGCUGUGCCAAGAGGCUGAGCUCCCGUCAAGCCAGGUGGGUAUUGUUUUUUGACCGGUUCACAUUCACCUUGUCCUACCGCCCAGGGGCCCAGAACACCAAGCCCGAUGCCCUGUCUCGCCAGUUCACUUCAGAAAGUACCAAAGAUGAUCCUGAUCUCAUCUUGUCUCCCCAUCUUGUCUUGUUACUUUCUGCGCUCAAUCACACUAGAAAUAGAAACACUGGUAAAGGAGGCCAAGGAAGAGCAAGCCGAUCUUGGUCCUCGGAACUCCUUGUUUGUCCCUGAUUCGGUACGCCCCCAGGUGCUACAGUGGGCCCAUUCAUCACGACUUACCUUUCACCCUGGGAUCCGCAGAACGUUGGCCUUCCACCGUCAACGCUUCUGGUGGCCCACCAUGGAAGACAACACCCGGUCCUUUGUCUCUGCAUGCACGGUAUGUGCUCGAAAUAAGACAUCCUCUAAGCAAAGCUCUGGUCUACUUUGUUCGCUUCCCAUUCCCAGAUGCCAUUGGUUGGACAUCGCCCUGGACGUUGUUUCUGGGCUUCCCUUGUCCAAUGGAAACACAGUCAUUCUCACUGUGGUGGACAGCUUUUCCAAAGCAGCACACUUCCUUGCACUUCCCAAGCUUCCAUCUGCCAAAGAGACUGCCACCUGUUGGUCCAGCAUGUUUUCCGCCUGCAUGGCAUCCCUUCUGACAUAGUCUCUGACCGGGGCCCCCAAUUCACCUCGCAGGUUUGGAGAGUGUUUUGCACAGCGCUUUGUAUAGGUGUUAGUCCAUUCUCUGGUUAUCAACCUCAGACCAACGGGCAAUGUGAGCACACCAACCAACAGCUGGAGACGGCGCUCUGUUGCAUGCCCCAGUCCCAUUCCGCUUCGUGGAGCACCCAUCUUGCCUGGGUUGAGUAUGCCCAUAAUUCACUGUCUAGCACCUCCGUGGCCAUGUCCCCUUUUCAAUGCUCCUUAGGCUAGCAACCACUGUUGUUCCUGUCACAGGCUUGCAGUUCCUUCGGUGCAGGCCUGCAUACGCCGAUGCUCCAAGGUCUGGAAACUCGUGUCGCCCUUCUCUGGUCCUCUGCCAAAUCUCAGGUACAAACCAACUUUCACUGCAUCCCUGUGCCUGCUUACACUGUUUGUCAAAAAGUGUGGCUCAGUACAAAGAAUCUACCGCUCAAGGUUGAAUCGAAAAAAACUUUCCUCCCGCUUCAUUGGCCCUUGUGACAUUGUGGCUGUGGUAAAUCCAUGUGCAGUGCGCUUUAAGCUCCCUGAUACUCUUUGCAUUCACCCCACCUUCCAUGUUUCCCAGAUAAAGCCGGUUUCUUCCAGUCUUCUGUGCUGCCCCCUCCUCCUCCCCUGGUGGUCGGAGGACAUCCCGCUUGGGCCGUGAACAGGCUCCUGGCUGUGCGUCGCGGCCUCCAAUAUGUGGUCGACUGGAAGGGCUAUGGUCUGGAGGAGUUGACUUGGGUCCCUGCGGGGCUGAUCCUGAGCAAAUCGUUGGUCCGCGACUUUCAUCGAGCCCACCCCGAUUGCUUGGCUCGUAAGCCGGGUGGCGUCCGUGGGAGGAGGGGACUGUCAGUGCUGCUGUUUCAGCUCCCUGACUCCAGCACUUGAGUGAGUGUGUGUGUGUGUGUGUCUGGGUGCAUCAUGAGUGCUUUGCAAGGUGGACGUGUUGGAGUGUAGCAGCUGCAUCUUAUCAUCCUAAUUACGCCUGACUACUCUUAAGACACUGUGGGACUCCAACUCCUCACCAGACUAUCAAUGCUCUACUUCGAUCUGUCGUCUGCCCUUGCUCCCUGCAAACCAGCGCUCACCUCCUGUGGCCCACCAACAACCCGGACUCCGACCCUGCCAAACUGGUCCUCUUUGGAACCCUGCCUACCCCAGAUCGAGUUCUCGGACCCCCUCUUUGUUUGCUUUCAAUCUACAAUAAAUAUUUGUUCACAAACUACCCUCCCUUUCCUCUCUGCAUCUGGGUCCAACUCGCAAUCUGAAACCUGACAAGCACACA
Phyllopteryx taeniolatus (common seadragon) is the source of this 2668-nucleotide long non-coding RNA. RefSeq lists it as uncharacterized. The record is from RefSeq and is a predicted model, not a curated record. NCBI's taxonomy places the organism in Eukaryota, Metazoa, Chordata, Actinopteri, Syngnathiformes, Syngnathidae. The transcript has 3 exons.